RNAcentral lists this ribosomal RNA (480 nucleotides) under uncultured bacterium. RNAcentral describes it as "bacterial SSU rRNA". It matches the Rfam family "Bacterial small subunit ribosomal RNA", at positions 335 to 806 of the family's 1533-position model. The record is from RNAcentral.
ACUCCUACGGGAGGCAGCAGUGGGGAAUAUUGCACAAUGGGCGCAAGCCUGAUGCAGCCAUGCCGCGUGUGUGAAGAAGGCCUUCGGGUUGUAAAGCACUUUCAGUCGUGAGGAAGGUAGUGUAGUUAAUAGCUGCAUUAUUUGACGUUAGCGACAGAAGAAGCACCGGCUAACUCCGUGCCAGCAGCCGCGGUAAUACGGAGGGUGCGAGCGUUAAUCGGAAUUACUGGGCGUAAAGCGCAUGCAGGUGGUUUGUUAAGUCAGAUGUGAAAGCCCGGGGCUCAACCUCGGAAUAGCAUUUGAAACUGGCAGACUAGAGUACUGUAGAGGGGGGUAGAAUUUCAGGUGUAGCGGUGAAAUGCGUAGAGAUCUGAAGGAAUACCGGUGGCGAAGGCGGCCCCCUGGACAGAUACUGACACUCAGAUGCGAAAGCGUGGGGAGCAAACAGGAUUAGAUACCCUGGUAGGAUAGCGUAGUCGU